RNAcentral lists this ribosomal RNA (884 nucleotides) under bacterium H7. RNAcentral describes it as "bacterial SSU rRNA". It matches the Rfam family "Bacterial small subunit ribosomal RNA", at positions 54 to 904 of the family's 1533-position model. The record is from RNAcentral. RNAcentral also lists the same sequence under 1 other name.
CAAGUUCGAGCGCAGGAAGCAAGUUGAUUCCCCUUUCGGGGGUGACGCUUGUGGAAUGAGCGGCGGACGGGUGAGUAACACGUGGGCAACCUGCCUGUAAGACUGGGAUAACCCCGGGAAACCGGGGCUAAUACCGGAUAAUACUUUCUUUUGCAUAAAGGAAAGUUGAAAGGCGGCUUCGGCUGUCACUUACAGAUGGGCCCGCGGCGCAUUAGCUAGUUGGUGAGGUAACGGCUCACCAAGGCGACGAUGCGUAGCCGACCUGAGAGGGUGAUCGGCCACACUGGGACUGAGACACGGCCCAGACUCCUACGGGAGGCAGCAGUAGGGAAUCUUCCGCAAUGGACGAAAGUCUGACGGAGCAACGCCGCGUGAGUGAUGAAGGUUUUCGGAUCGUAAAACUCUGUUGUUAGGGAAGAACAAGUACGAUAGUAACUGAUCGUACCUUGACGGUACCUAACCAGAAAGCCACGGCUAACUACGUGCCAGCAGCCGCGGUAAUACGUAGGUGGCAAGCGUUGUCCGGAAUUAUUGGGCGUAAAGCGCUCGCAGGCGGUCCUUUAAGUCUGAUGUGAAAUCUCGCGGCUCAACCGCGAACGGUCAUUGGAAACUGGAGGACUUGAGUACAGAAGAGGAGAGUGGAAUUCCACGUGUAGCGGUGAAAUGCGUAGAGAUGUGGAGGAACACCAGUGGCGAAGGCGACUCUCUGGUCUGUAACUGACGCUGAGGAGCGAAAGCGUGGGGAGCGAACAGGAUUAGAUACCCUGGUAGUCCACGCCGUAAACGAUGAGUGCUAGUGUUUAAGGGGGUUUCCGCCCCUUAGUGCUGAAGUUAACGCAUUAAGCACUCCGCCUGGGGAGUACGGCCGCAAGGCUGAAACUCAA